Etheostoma spectabile (orangethroat darter) is the source of this 134-nucleotide long non-coding RNA. RefSeq lists it as uncharacterized. NCBI's taxonomy places the organism in Eukaryota, Metazoa, Chordata, Actinopteri, Perciformes, Percidae. The transcript has 3 exons. The record is from RefSeq and is a predicted model, not a curated record.
AACGGCCCCUCAGGACAGACAACAGCACGCAACACACCGAACAGACUCGAGUCGCCGACCUCGACAGACUGUCCGGCGGCCGAUUAUCGGGUUGGUGUGUCACGGCCCUAAGACACACUGAUACAGACACACAC